This 13138-nucleotide long non-coding RNA is filed under the name Capsicum annuum. RNAcentral's name for it is "long non-coding RNA (CANN_LNC021454)". The record is from RNAcentral. Lineage: Eukaryota; Viridiplantae; Streptophyta; Magnoliopsida; Solanales; Solanaceae.
CUGAACUUCCACCAACUAGCUAUUAGAACACACCUCAACUAUAUUAGAACACGCCUCGACUAGUAAUUGUUCAUUUUACAUACCGUAACUCACAAACUGUGAUACUUUUAAGCGUGUUUUUCACCCUUGCGCGAGUUUCCUACCUGAACUAUCACCAACUAGCUAUUAGAACACACCUCAACUAUUAAUUCUUCAUUUUACAUACUGUAACUCGAAAACUGAGAUACUUUUAAGCGUGUUUUUCACCCUUGACUAUCACCAACUAGCUAUUCAAGCACAAUUCAAUUAUUAAGUGUUCAUUUUACAUAACGUAACUCAAAAACUGAGAUACUUUUAAGCAUGUUUUUCACCCUUGCGCGAGUUUCCUGCCUGAACUAUCACCAACUAAAUAUUAGAGCACACUUCAAUUAUUAAGUGUUCAUUUAACAUAACGUAACUCAAAAACUAAGAUACUUUUAAGCGUGUUUUUCAUCCUUGCGUGAGUUUCCUACUGAACUAUCACCAACUAACUAUUAGAACACACCUCAACUAUUAGUUGUUCAUUUUACAUAACGUAACUCAAAAACUGAGAUACUUUUAACCCUGUUUUUCACUUUCACCCUUGCACGAGUUUCCUACCUGAACUAUCACCAACUAACUAUUAGAACACACCUCAACUAUUAAUUUUUCAUUUUACAUAUCGUAACACAAAAACUGAGAUACAUAAGCGUGUUUUUCACCCUUUCACUCAAUCCAAUAUACAAAAGAAAAUAAAUCAGCUUAUAUAAAUGCAACGGAAUUUAGGUGAUUUCUUUCCAUGUAUCCUAGCCUUCUAGUACCUGUUGCUAGUGGAAGGUAACCAUCCCGUGGAAUUAUUUAGAGGUGCGGGCAAGCUGGUCUGGACACCACGAUUAUCAAAAUAAAAAAAAUAAAAAUACACGCAACUGAAUCAUGGGAAAGUUAUUAACAAACUCAAGUACAAUAUUUAAUCAAAUAAUUAAAUUUUAAUGUAAAUUAAUCACGAUAAAAUCAAAUCUAUUUACUUAAUUUCCUCCUAAAACAAACCAAAGAAACGCAACAAUUUUUUUUUAUUUACCUCCCAAUACAAUCCUUGAAAGUUUGCUCAGUUUUUUCACACUUUCGUAUGAAUUUUCCAGGCUCAGUUUCUUCGGUUCGGCAUUUAGUACUCACAAUCUUCCUAGUAGCACACCGUUCACCGCCGCCUCCGUCGCCAUCGCCGCCGGAGGAUGAUGAUCUAGGGUUCAAAAAAUCAUCGGCGCCGUAACGGUCCGAAACGUCGUCGUUCUUCCAUACCCAACCCAUUGCUUGGAAAAUAAAUCAGGGAUGUUUCUGGAAGGUGAAAGAAAUGGAAUGAGUUAUUUCUAUAUAGUUUUGCUUAUAAAGGAACUUUAAUUUUAAAAAAUAAAAAAUAAAAAUGGGUGCAAAAAAGGAUAUAAGUAAUUUAAAAAAAAGUUAAAAAUGAUAAAAAACACAGCUAAACUAUUUCAAGUGUUUUAAAUUAUAUAGCUUGAGGGGGCAAGUUUCCUGCAUAAAUUAUCAUUCAGUGAUUAGCGAAAGUCGACACGCAUUUUGAUCUAAUAUAUAAACUCUCAUUUUUAUAUAAAAUUUUGACACGUAGCAAUCCACAUGGACAAUCAAUUCCACUAUAGUAAAGUUAAAUAAAUUAAUGUUUGUUUUCUUUAUUCAGAGAAUCUUACAAAAUCUAUGUAUGUAAAAUCCAUAGAUAUAGUAGAAUUCUCCGAAUAGGGGAGACAAAAUAUUUUCGACCAUAUAUGGUGAGAUCUCCAGUUCUAUCAUUGGAAAUCUUUGACAUUUGCUGAAAAAUUGAUAAGUAAAAUUUUGGGAGAUUUUCGUUUUGGUGGUGGUUUAUGGUCGUUGGGUUAUUCGAAGUAGUGAAAUGGUCGUUGUGUUGGUUGGAGAUUGUGGAGGAAAUGAUGCUGGGGCUUGGUUGGUCGGAGUAGAGAGGAAGAAAGAGGGAGUGAGGGAGGUCGAAGCUUGGUGAUUUUUCAAUGGAUGAGCGGUUGGAAACACAAAAGACGAUGGACCGACUGAUUUUGUGGGAGUUGCUCGUUGUGAAGGAAAAAAAUGAAUUGAAUUUGAGAUUUGGGAAAAUGUAAUGUAUAUCCACUGGUUUAGAGAGAGAAAGUUUAAAAAAAAAAAAGAAUUUAUGUAAUAAUUUUAAAGAGUUAGAAAUUUAAAGUAAUAACGAUAAGUUAAGGUAUGAUAUUAUGUAAUAUGUCUUAUUCUCCAUCGUGACAUCUAGCAAUGUUGUAUCGUUUUAGUCACGACGUUGAUAUCUCCGUCUUAAAAAGGGAAACUUUAGGCUUUUAAGAAAAUCAAUUGGAAAAUAUAAAUAAAAUGACGUGUUAGCUAAUAGAGUCACCAUAUUAUCAGAUGAAUGAAGAUUUUAUUGCAAAAUACACCUAAAUACGUUUAGAUAAAUAUUUAGUGCAGUCAACAUAGAGGAAUGUUCUGCUAGCCAUUCAUUACGUGUUUACUAAGAUAAAAUAUUCACACUCCAACUUGCUUAGGUAUGAAAAUCAAAAGAAUAUUUUUGACAAAGUAAUAAUGAUAAGUUAAAAGUAAGGUAUUAUGUAAUUUGCCUGAUUCUCCAUUGUGACAUCUGAUAAUGUUAUACCGUCUCAGCCAUGAUAUUGAUAUCUCCAUCUUGAAAAUAAAAAAUGUAGGCUUUUAAGGAAAUCAAUUGAAAAAUAUAAAUAAAGUGAUAUUUGAGCUAAUCGCGUUAUCAUGUAUAUCAGGUGGACGAAGAUUUUAUUGCCAAAUACACUCAGAAGCGUUUAGAUAAAUAUUUUGUGCAGUCAACAUAUAGGUAUGUUUCGUUAGCCGUUACGUGAUCGUUAAGAUAAAAUAUCCACACUCCAAAUUAUUUAGGUAUGAAAAUAAAAAAAUAUUCUUUACCCUUUUAAGUCUUAAGAAAAAAAAAGUAUGGGAAGUGCAGUGCAAAAAGACAUGUAGUCCUAAAAGUAAAGAAGCUUGUAAAAAAAGAUUAAUUUUAUUGGAAUUUUUCAUACGUCUUGACUACGUAAUUAAAACAAAGUAACGAAAUUAUGGUUAUAAUUCUUCAAAAAUACACCAAAAAUUUUUAAAAAACUUUAUUCAAGUUUCAAAUGUAUCAUAUUGUGUUGUAUUGUAAUAAUAUUAUUUUGAUAAAUAUUAUUUCACGUUAUUCCGUCUCGUCACACGUAAUCAAAAUGUAAGGCUCAAAAAAUUCCAGUAGCUUAAUUAAUUGAUUACCUAAACUAUUACUUGUUGGUCAAGAUUCUACUACCCACCUUAUAAUCCCCUCUCUUAUCCUCCUCCCAUUAACUAAAAAAGGAAACUAAUUUUUGUAGUCUUUUUUACAAAUUUUGAUUAGGACUAAGCCUCAACAAUAUUUUUCCUAUUCAUAUUUGGAUUUGGAGAAUUAAAGUUAAUGCAAUUAAAACUUUCUUGUAUCAAUCCAUAUUGAUAUGGGAUUAAGAGAAGCCAAAUAGCUCUAUAAAUAUAAACCAAUACUAUUUCACAUUCUUCAUCACAAAUUUCUUUAGCACUUAAUAGUCCUUAGUUUAUAAACUUGUUUUUCCCUUGUUUGUUGAUCAUGAUCACUUGUUUGUUGAUCAUUAUCACCAUGCCUAUCAAGCAAGAAAUAUCAUCGACUUAACGGACGAUUUAGACGAUACCAAUGUCCCCAUGAACACAAGUAAUGAUAUAGUUCCUGUAACCAAUUAUGGUGUUGGUUCUUGUUUUCUUGAUAUUCAAGAAAGUCCUAUGAAGAAGACGAAACUUGAAACUGAGACUUGUAUGAUUGCUUCUUUGUCAAUUUGUCCUAAGAAUGAAUUCGUAGGAGGUUUCCCUGCUGUUAAUCCAAUUGCUACUAGUUGUAAGCAAUUCUGGAAAGCUGGAGAUUAUGAUGGCAAUAAGGAGGGUGCAUGUCAUGAUCAAACUGUUGUUGGUAUGGAUCAUGUGAGAGUUCAUCCGAAAUUCUUGCAUUCGAAUGCUACUAGUCAUAAAUGGGCAUUGGGUGCUUUCGCUGAGCUUUUAGACAACGCGAUGGAUGAGGUUUGCAAUGGUGCUACAUUUGUUAGCGUAGACGUGCUGGACAAUAAGAAAGAUGUUGGGAGUAAGAUGUUGUUAGUUGAAGACAAUGGUGGUGGAAUGACUCCUGAUAAGAUGCGCCAGUGCAUGUCGCUUGGGUACUCUGCGAAAAGCAAAUUAGCAAACACGAUUGGUCAAUAUGGAAAUGGUUUCAAAACGAGUAGUAUGAGGCUAGGGGCUGAUGUGAUUGUGUUUUCACGGGGGAGGGAUAGAGCAAUGAGCAUGUCGACACAGAGUGUAGGAAUGUUGUCGUAUACUAUUCUAAGGGGCACGGGGAAAGAAGAUAUAGUUGUUCCUAUGAUCGAUUAUUUUGUGAAGAGGGGAGGGACGUGGGAGAUGUUGGUUCGGUCUACAGCUGAUGAUUGGAAGAGGAAUUCGGAGACAAUAGCACAAUGGUCUCCUUAUGAGAACGAACAGGAUCUUUUCCAGCAGUUUGAGUUAUUGAAAGGUGAUCAUGGGACGCGAAUUGUCAUAUACAAUCUUUGGGAGGACGAAGAAGGAGCCCCAGAGCUCGACUUUGACACUGAUCCACAUGACAUUCAAAUAAGGGGUGUAAGUCGAGAUGAAAAGAAGAUUGAGAUGGCGAAAGAAUAUCCUAACCCCAGGCACUUUCUAACUUAUCCACAUUCUCAAAGGAGUUAUGCUUCGAUUUUGUAUCUGAGGCUUGCUCCUGGAUUUCGAAUAAUUUUGAGGGGGGAAGAAGUUGAACAUCAUAAUAUGGUAAACGACAUGAUGCUGUCGGAGGAGAUUACGUACAGACCACAAUCCGUUGGUUAUGAAACAUCGGUAGCAGAAGGAACUAUUGGUUUUGUGAAAGAUGCAAAACAUCAUAUUGAUAUUCAAGGUUUCAAUGUUUAUCACAAGAAUAGGCUCAUUAAGCCUUUCUGGAGGGUGUGGAAUGCUGCUGGCAGCGAUGGUCGCGGUGUGAUAGGCGUCUUGGAAGCUAAUUUUGUUGAACCAGCUCACGAUAAACAGGGCUUUGAGCGCACGAUUGUCCUUGCAAGACUCGAGGCACGCCUGCAAUUUAUGCAGAAGAAGUAUUGGUCUUCAAACUGUCAUUUCAUUGGUUAUGCUAAGCGUCGCAAUGUAAAGAACACUACUGUCUCUCCUGAUCAAGAAGCACCAAACACUUGUUCUGCGCCUACAAGCAAAUCCUGUUCCCCAUUCAGCUCCAAUGUCGGCCACACAACCUGUCAUGAUGAUAGAUCUAAACCGAAAUCAUCCGGAGUAGAACAUGAGACGAGACCCGUUCAUUCUUCAGUAAAGGACAGUUCGGUGCAGGAAGCAUCCCGUGUUUAUGUUUAUGUAGGAUCUGGGGAAGUCCCACACCCAGUUCAAGUUUCAAUACAAGCAGGACGCCAGCCUAUGUAUGUAGAUCAAAACCAGCAAGUGCGUACACUAAAUGAGCAAGGUCAUCUAACUCGGCAAGAGUGUACAUUGAAUAGGCAUCAUGAUCUAACUCAGCCAACGUGUACAUUGAAUAGACAACCCGAUAUAACUCAGCAAAUGUGUAUAUUAAAUAGGCAAACUGAUGGAACUCCAGUAAACACUUCUGCACCUAAAAGAAACUCCAAUGCUGUGUACUGUCACAUAGAAGUCAAAUACGAACACAUAAUUAAAAAAAAAUUAUCACAGCAUCAACAACAUCGUGGCACUACAUUAACUCAUUAACCGGCAAUACCGAAUAACAAAUUCCAUCUGACAAGAAAAGACAGCAAUUUGACCACCAAUCUUAGCCACUCUGCAUAAUGUCAAGGCUGUGGUAGCGCUUAAAGGGCUUAAAGGGUCCUUUUCCUCCUCUUCUCUCCACUCGAGAAAAAACCUUGCAAAACUCUGACUCUUCAGUGAACUCUCUUAUCCUACGUAUAGGCUACAAACCAGUCAUUAUUUUGUUAAAAACGUAAUUUACCAAGAAAACUGACACACUCGAUGUGAGGCAAGCUUCUUGAUUAGCGAUUUCACAGACAUCCUAGCACGUUGCAGAAGCAAUUACUCUCUCACCAAACACCAUAUAUCACUGUACAAGGUAUACAAAUGUCGCAGGUCUUAUGUUUCGUCAAGGGACUCACAGUUUCCUCAGAGCUUGCGCAAAUCGUAGACAUGUUGGCAGUUCCUAUUCAUAUUUGCAUAUUCUAGAAUUCACCCCAAUCACACUAUACCUCAAGUCGUGACUCUUUUAGGGCCGUCCCUAGGAUCCGAACCAAAAACCUGCUCAACUAAACUGCAAAAUACAAAUCGAGAAAACUUAGCACAGUACAAUCAUCAUCAAUGUAUCAAAAAUGUAGCACAAUAUUCCCAGCAUAUUAUAGAUUAAAAAAAAAAAAAUAGUAUACACUUGGGAUAUCCAGCACUUUUAGCAGCAGUUCUGCCAGAUAGAUUGGUGUAGUAUUGUUGAAUAAUGAAGCUAUUCGACCUUGAUCCGCUUGGUUCAGGGGAAUCAUGGGAACUCACAGCUGAACUUCCAGAGGACAUCCCUGCAACAAUUUGGUGUAUGUCCCAAAUCAUCAGAUAAUUGGUUUGUUGAAAACAAAUCUGGUAGCAACAAAGAGUUUGCAACAAAAAGAAAAACAAGGGCUAACAACACCAACAAAAUACCCAGUGUAGUGGGGUCUGGGAAGAUAAAGUAUACACGGACCUUACCCCUAUCUCGUAGAGGUAGGGAGGCUGUUUGCGGAGAAAAAAGGUUAAUCUAUUGCAAAUAUGUGAUUUCCGGUAACACUGUCACUCGCAGAAAAUGAAAAAUCCUUGUACAUACACAUUAUAUUCCCCCACUUUUUUGCAUCAUCAUCUUGGCAUGGAGAUGCUCAGAUAAUGUGCACAAGUAUUCAAGUCAAGACAAGAAUGAUGUUGGUGUAUAGCCAAUGCAUAACAGGUCACACACAAUAGUUUAAGAGGAUGCGGGAGACUGCCUCUAUGAUGCUGCUCACAUAAUGUCGGGUGAAUCACAAGUUAAAGAUAAGCCCGUAAAAUUUAACACCUUCAAUGAAAUACCUUAAUUAUUCCUAAUGCAAUAGUUUAAACAGGACAAGCGAGGAAGAAAGUGCAUAAAAGGAAAAUAACUACUCCAGGAAUUAACACUAACACUACCCAGGCAUGAUUCCUAAAACAAUUACACACAAAUUGUCAUAUGAAAGAUACAUGGAAAAUGCCAAAUUAAAUGAUUACCUUGAAAACACAGGAUGAGAAAGAAGAGGACAGAAAAGAGAAAGGCAAGGACACUGCCCAUGGAUGAUGGUGAAGUAGAAGAUGCUUUUGCUGCUUUCAUUUUCUUCAAAGCCUUGAUUCGCUCAAUUCGCGCACGCUUGAUCAUUGCGAGUUCGGCGAUCUCUUUGAUAAGCUUCUGGUCAGCAGCAUCCAAGGAUAAUCCUCUUGGAGGUCUGGGAGGUUUUUUAGCACUGGUGGAUUUACGCUUAUCUUUCACUUUUUUCUUGUCUAUGCGAUUUGCAGUCGUCACAGGUACUGUAGAAAGCUCAUGCUCAUGCUCAUGCUCAUGCUCAUCCUUGAUCAAACAGAGCCCAUUUUCAACUUCAAUAAGUUGUUCAUCGUCACAGGUACUGUAGAAAACUCUCUUGCCUAGUUUAUCAGCAGAAAAAGGAUCAGGACUUGCUGGUGCUUCACUCAUUCUCUUGCACAUCUCAACAUCAACCACAAAAUCAAAGGGUGUACGAUCCAUGACAACUCUACUCGGCAAACUUAAAUAUCUCUAUAAUAAAUUCGAGAACAUAAGCCAGCACCCAGAUUUAUCUUUCAACAGGUUAUCAUCUGAAAGACAAUUUAUCAAACACCAUUCAGUUUCCUGAGCUCAAUUAUUAAUUUCUUCACCCCCACCCCCACCCCCCAAUUUAUAUCCAAGGCCCCUAAAAUUCUGUCAAUUUUUGGAAACAAUUCUACUAUUUCACUGUAGAUUUCUUCAUAGGCACCUAAAGCUUCACAAUUUCAAAUAAACACAAGCUGGUAAAGGAAUUUACUUUGGAAACAAGAAAGGAAAUCAGUUACAAUCUGAAUCUAACAAAUUAAUUAAACUAGCUGAACGAAGAUAACUUGGGAAAUAAACAUCAAAAGCGAACUUAUAACCGAUUAAAGAAUAAAGAAGCAACUCAUUCAGUCAGAUUAACAUAGUUCAUCAAUAAAGAUGAAUUGGGAAGGAAACAUCAAUCAAAUUAAAUACUAUAAAGAAAGUAAGUUGGGGUUUUAGUGUGUGGACCUUUAGGAUUGAAGACAAGGCAGAUAGAUCCAUAGAGAGUGGAUAGUGUGAUUCAAAAAUUGUGGAGAUUCAAUUAAGAGGAGUGCACGUAUAUCAAUCACUAUAUAUAUUAAUAAAUAAAUGACGAGUGCCAUUGCCAGAGCUUGACAUUCAAAUUGAAUUAUAUGAGAGAGAGAGAGAGAGAGAGUGAAGGCGACAAGUAAGCCUAGAUGCACGCGGGUGUUUCUGUGGGAAUUAACACCGAAACUUCAACUUACUUUUUUCAUUAUUUUUAUUAUUUUUUUUAAACAAAAAAAUCAUACUACUCCGUAAUUGUUUUAAGGAAAGCGACUUGUCCAAAAUCUGUUGCCGUUUGAUUAUGAAAUUGACAGCACACUGCAGCAGCAGGUGAGGAGAAAGUGAGAUUCUGCCUACCUGCCAGUUUUUGAUGAAUCUCCACCGACACUUUUCUCUUCCCACUUCUAACCCUAACCCCUCUCCAUAAUUAAUCCAACAUGACAACUUACGUCAAAUUUAGCUCACUACUAUAUUAUAUAAUAAAUAGAUUAUAUUUAUAUUUAAUUCCAAGAUGUUUAGUUUUGUGGUAUCAUAUUAAUUUAUCCUUCUUAUUUAUGUUUUCUCAAAUUAAAAUUGAACCUACUUAUAUUUCACUACGUAUUCUAAAAUUUAAAUCAACGAGUAGGAAAUACAUAACCCACUUUCCUUUUUAAAUGACAACGGAUUCUUACUAUAAGAAAAAAAAAAAAUAUUUAUAUGUUGUUGCAACUUUAGACUAUGAUAUUAUGGGUGCAGCUAAAUGACUAGAAUGAUUCAAUUUUGUAAAAUGACUUUUUGGCCCUUUGACUCCAAAAUCACUUACCUUUCAUUCCAAAAUGCAAAACUACUUCCUUUUAACUCCAAAAUUAUUUAUUUUUCCCUCUAAAAAUAAAACCACUUUAACUUUUAUUUUUUAUUUUUAUUAUUCUUUCUUAUUUUUUUUACUAUUUUUUCAUAUUUAAUUUUUAUAUUUUAUUUUUUCAUUCUACUUUUUCCUUACUUAUUUUAAGUUUUCUCAUUUAAUUUGAAAUCUUUUAAUCAUCAUUUUUAACUUGUAUUAUAUAUUUUUUUUCUUCCAUUACUUCUAUCUCUUUAGUUAUUUUACUAUACAGAUCUUUCAACUUUUUUAUUUUUAAUUUUUUUUUUAAUUUUAAAUCCUCCAUAUAUCUCAUCUACAAAAUUUCUUCUAUAAUUUUAUUUUUUUAAUGAAUUCAAUUUAACAAAAAUAUUUAACUAAGAGAAACCAUGAAUGAAAUUUUUGGAAUUGAAAAUAGUAAUAGUUUAGUCGCUAAAUUUAUAAUCAACAAAAAUUCAAAUAUGAUUACUUUUAAAGUUAAAUUCAUUUUUAUUUUGCUUAUAAACAAAAGAAAAUUGCCUUUAAAUAGCAAUUCAAUUGAUAGUUAUCAACAUGAUAUUUUAACUGUAAAUUAAUAAGUUUGACUUAAAAAUUUUAGUGUAAUUUUUAUCUUGUCUCUAAAUAACUCGCAUAUUAAGUUUAUAUAGGUUUGAUUAAAAAUUCAACUGUGUGCAAAGAUUAAGUAUAUGAAUAAAAAUUAAUGAGAUCGUCACAUAAUGUUAUUCUAACAAACUGAUCAAAAAAUUUAUAAUCAUUGAAUCACAACUUUGAGAUUAGAAAGCUGCGAUAACAUACAAAUUUAUUUUAGUUAAAUUAUAUUUAAUAUUUGGAAGUAUUUUUAUUUUGUUUCACUAAAAUUAUAAAGUAUUUCAUAAUUAUUUUGUCUAAGAAAAUUAAUUGGCUUGUAAAAAUUGAAGCCUAGAAUUAUUUGGCUUGUAAAAAUUGAAGCCGAAAGUAUUUUAUCUUAUUGUUGUUGGUGAUGCUGGUGUUGUUGUUGUUGUUGUUGGUGGUGGUGAUGGUGGUGUUGCCGCUGCUGCUACUACUACUGUGCUGCUACUGCUACUACUACACUUCUUAUUAAAAAUAAAUUUAAGAAGUGAAAUUGAGUUACUAGAAGUCAUCACUUGUGUUGGUGAGUCAUAAAAUUCACAAAUUGAAACUCGAUUUAAUCCUAGUAUAUGCUGAAUCAAUAUUUUUCAAAUAGAAUUCGGCCAUUUAUGUUGACUAUAUAGUGACAAAUUGACACAUGAUUCAAUCCUAACAUAGAUUGAAUCAAUAUGUCACAUUUAGAAGUCAAUCUUUUAUUUUAACUAUAGUCGUGAUAGAUUGAAACUCGAUUUGAUCCUAACAGAGAUUGAAUCAAUAUUUUUCAAGUAGAAAUAAAUUAUUUAUGUUGAUUCUAAUCACGAUAAAUUGAAAUCCAAUUCAAUCCUUAUAAACACCUAAUUUCGUCCCUCCCCGAUGUCGUUUUAUCCAUUUUUAUCUUAUCCUACCGUGUACCCUCACCCGUGUGAUAAUCCCUCCACAAAUAACAAAAAUAACAAUCCCCUAACUAAUUUUGUCUUAUCCUAGCAGCUUACCCAAACAAAAAUAGACAUCUAACCCUUAUCCCUCCAAUUAAAAAACAACACCUACCUACCCUAUCCUAACAACCCAUCCAAUCAAAAACCACAUCACACCCUACCCCCUACCCCACGUGACCCCACCUACCUCACCACUACCCCACCCUCAUCACAUAUAUCACACACUCUCAUAUAUUCACUGAUAUAUUCACCAACACACAGAUACCCACCGACAAAAAACUCACCUCACGCCAUUUUCUUAGGCUUCUUCUUCUUCUCACACAGAGCACACACUCACAUACCGUCACUGACUAUCACACAUGCACAAUGAAUUCACGCACAAAAUCUCACGCCACACACUGAUAGGAAUCCGAAAACACAGUGGACAAAGGCGAACACCCACACGUCACAGUCACCCUCCCCGACGCUUCACCGGAAUUUGAUUUCCUCGGAAAAGAAGACACGCUCUGAGAUCGGAAUAUGGAGAAAGUGAGAUAAUCGAGCAAGAAAAUCAUAGAAAAUCGAAGAAGAUAUUGAGUAGCGAAGAAAUCUGAGAGGAAUGGAGAGAUGGUGAGAAGCAAGUAAAAAUCGAGAGAGAGAGAGAUCGGAGACCGGCGAGUCUUCGCCUGAAGCUCACAGGAAAGGGCUCUUCCGCCGCCAGAAUUGGCAAAACCAGCCUCCAAACAACUGAAAUAGACCUGUUAUGGGCUGAUUCCGACCAGCUCCACCAGAAAAUUGAUAUGUCGCCCAUCACCGAACAACCACAGCUGCAACCCAUCGAAAAUCAUUCGACAUCCUACGACCCAACUUCACCGUUGUUGUUGUCUCUGUUUCGACAGCAGAAAUACACCAGAAAAGGUAAUAUUCCCACCGAUUGAGUUUUGAGUGACGACAGUCGUGGAUUCUGUUCGAGAACUUCGAUUUGGGCUUGGGUUAGUCGUUGUCUUUGAUUUGGGUUGGUCAGUUCGUGAUUGAGGUUCAAAUUGAGAGUUUUUGGAUCCGACUUUGUCUUUUGAUCACAUAUUUUGGCACUCUACACUUUCUCUCAUCUAUUUUAUUAUUUGUGAUGUUUCGUAUUUCGAAUUGGAUAUUCGUGUGUGUGGUUUGAUCUUCGUUGGUGAGAUGAUUUCGUUGGUCACGAUUGUGUGUGAUGUCAAUGAUGAAUAUUGAGUUUACAGUGAUUGUGGAUUGUUGAAAUAGUAAUCGUGAUUGUUGAAAUUUUGUGUUAAAAUAAAAUUGGGGGUGGGAAUUAAAAAUUGCUAAAAUGAAUGUUGAUUAAUUUUGAUGUAUGAAUAAUGUUAAACACGAUGGAAUUGUGAUAUGUUGAACUUGAUAGGCAAAUGUAGGUCGGGUAGUCAAAUUUAGAAAUAACAAUUUAUUGGAAUAUUUGAAUAUGUGCGUGAAUGGUUCGUUUUACUUUAUCAAACGAAAAGCUUCAAUUGUAUAUUUUGGUCGGGGAAUGCCUUAAAGUAUCUGUAUAUAUUUAUUCACCGGGGAAUGCCCCGAGGUAUCAUGUACCCGGAGGACAUUUGUGGUGAAGGCCUGAGGUGUCGGGUAGAGCAUUAGUUUAGGAUUAGCGUAGGUUUACUUUUAGUCCCUUUUUAUUUCGGGUUGUAAUAAUUGGACUGGACUUUACAUUUUAGAUUAUUUUGUUUUGUUUGAUUAUUUUGCGUGCUUCUUGUGCGGUUUAUACAUUUCUUAGUGCCAAAAAAAAUAGUCGAUACACUCUACCAAGCGACCGUGGUUGAACCACGGGAUCGAGAGGUGCCUAACACCUUCCCCUCGGUCAACAGAAUUCCUUAUCCGGAAUCUCUGUUCGCAAACCAGUUUAAAGAGUCAAAUGGUUUUGAAAAGAAUUUUCUAAUGGUGACUUGGCACACCAGAUUAUGUCAAGUGGCGACUCUGAGUAAAAAAUGUAAAUAAUCUUUUUCCGAAAUAAAUUUUCAUUUCUUGUCACUUAAAUAAUAAAAUCCUUUCGAACUAAAAAAUAUAAAUCUUUCGGGAGUCAAAAAAGGGGUGUGACAAUCCUAAGGUAGAUUCAAUCAACAUUUUUCAAAUAAAAGUCAACCAUUUAGGUUGAUUAUAGUUGAUCAAGACAAAUUAAGAUACAAUUCAAUCCUAAUAUUGAUUGGUACGCGCAAGCUGAUCCGGACACCAUGGUUUAAAAAAAUAAAAAAAAAAUCAAACAUUUAUGUUGAUUAUAAUCGUGAUAAAUUAAAACUCAAUUUAAUCGUAAUAUAGAUUGAAUCAAUAUUUUUCAAUUAGAAGUCAAACAUUUACGUUGAUUAUAGUGGUGACAAAUUGAAACUUAAUUUAAUUUUACUACUAAUAAUAAAGAGCAAUAAGUAGGCACGUCUCAACAUGCCUGCUUCAACUGCUUAAAUC